RNAcentral lists this ribosomal RNA (461 nucleotides) under uncultured bacterium. Its description in RNAcentral is "partial 16S ribosomal RNA". It matches the Rfam family "Bacterial small subunit ribosomal RNA", at positions 338 to 795 of the family's 1533-position model. The record is from RNAcentral.
CCUACGGGUGGCAGCAGUGAGGAAUAUUGGUCACUGGGCGAGAGCCUGAACCAGCCAAGUCGCGUGAGGGAAGACGGUCCUAUGGCUUGUAAACCUCUUUUGUCGGGGAGCAAAAAGGCCUCGUGAGGCCACAAGUGAGAGUACCCGAAGACAAAGCAUCGGCUAACUCCGUGCCAGCAGCCGCGGUAAUACGGAGGAUGCGCGCGUUAUCCGGAUUUAUUGGGUUUAAAGGGAGCGUAGGUGGAUUGGUAAGUCAGUUGUGAAAGUUUGCGGCUCAACCGUAAAAUUGCAGUUGAAACUGGCAGUCUUGAGUACAGUAGAGGUGGGCGGAAUUCGUGGUGUAGCGGUGAAAUGCUUAGAUAUCACGAAGAACUCCGAUUGCGAAGGCAGUUCACUGGACUGCAACUGACACUGAGGCUCGAAAGUGUGGGUAUCAAACAGGAUUAGAUACCCCGGUAGUC